RNAcentral lists this ribosomal RNA (253 nucleotides) under uncultured bacterium. Its description in RNAcentral is "partial 16S ribosomal RNA". It matches the Rfam family "Bacterial small subunit ribosomal RNA", at positions 524 to 776 of the family's 1533-position model. The record is from RNAcentral.
UACGGAGGGGGCUAGCGUUGUCCGAAGUUACUGGGCGUAAAGCGCGCGUAGGCGGGUUGGUAAGUCCGCUGUGAAAGCCCGGAGCUCAACUCCGGAGGGUCGGUGGAUACUGCCAGUCUUGAAGGUGCUAGGGGGAGAUGGAAUUACCGGUGUAGCGGUGGAAUGCGCAGAUAUCAGGAGGAACACCGAUGGCGAAGGCAGAUCUCUGGGCCAUUACUGACGCUGAGGAGCGAAAGCGUGGGGAGCGAACAGG